AUCCAGACUCCUACGGGAGGCAGCAGUGGGGGAUAUUGCACAAUGGGGGGAACCCUGAUGCAGCGACGCCGCGUGGGUGAAGGAGUGCUUCGGCAUGUAAAGCCCUAUCGGCAGGGAAGAAGCAAGACGGUACCUGACUAAGAAGCUCCGGCUAACUACGUGCCAGCAGCCGCGGUAAUACGUAGGGAGCGAGCGUUAUCCGGAUUUACUGGGUGUAAAGGGGGCGCAGACGGCAGCGCAAGCCAGGAGUGAAAGCCCGGGGCCCAACCCCGGGACUGCUCUUGGAACUGCGCGGCUGGAGUGCAGGAGGGGCAGGCGGAAUUCCUGGUGUAGCGGUGAAAUGCGUAGAUAUCAGGAGGAACACCGGUGGCGAAGGCGGCCUGCUGGACUGCGACUGACGUUGAGGCCCGAAAGCGUGGGGAGCAAACAGGAUUAGAUACCCCGGUACU
Molecule: ribosomal RNA, 449 nt
Filed under: uncultured bacterium
Lineage: Bacteria
Description: partial 16S ribosomal RNA
Rfam family: Bacterial small subunit ribosomal RNA
Source: RNAcentral